RNAcentral lists this long non-coding RNA (6140 nucleotides) under Citrus x clementina. RNAcentral describes it as "Citrus clementina (C. clementina) long non-coding RNA (CCLE_LNC004619)". The record is from RNAcentral. Lineage: Eukaryota; Viridiplantae; Streptophyta; Magnoliopsida; Sapindales; Rutaceae.
CCAAGAUGCUGAUUUAUGCUGAACAAUUACUGUGUAGACAGCCGAUUGUGCUGCCCCGAUACCGUUCAUCCAUGCUGAAAGUGAAAGUUUUGCAGGAUACUUCUUCAAGGUAAAUGCCUACAGGGUUAACGUGUUUUCUAAAACUUUUUAUGGGCAGGUUUUCAGAUAUUUGUUGAUUGCUUUUACUUCAUUUAUGUUACUUCUGAAAUCAUGCUAUUUUCAAUCAACUAUGGACGGUAUACCAUUUGAAAGAAAGAAUCAAAAGCUUGUUGAAUGUUUUAGUACCUGCGUAAUGUAAAAACUAGACCAUAACAUGCGACUCGCAAGAGUCAGAAUUGAACCUUUCAACCAGUUCUCAAGAACAGAGUUAGUUCCAAGGUGGAUCGGAGCACCCUUCAAGCUUGCCACUGCAGGUCCUUUGUAGAAAGCUAUAACUAUAACCCCAACUAAGGAUGUUAAUGUUCCAACAAUUUUAGCUAUCCCACGAGGACUCCGAACACCAACAAUCUCUAACCUACACGAAGUUUGUUUACAAUGAUGUAGAAUAAUCUUCUACCACAUGUUGGAGUUUGAAGCUCAUACCUUAAUAUGACUGCAAUUAUGAAAGUCGUGCACGGGAUAGUAUUAAUAAUCGCUGUCAUGAAGGUUGGAGAGACGUAUCUCAUGCUUGCAAAAUACAGGUUGAGGGUUAAGCUCACCCUGUUUACACCACGAAAGAAAUAACGCAAGUCCCUUCAGUUUGUGGCAAACACUAGCUACUUUUGCAAUAUGAUGAAGAAUGGAACUUGGCAGCUCCACCCUUGAAGAGAAAGCAAAAACAUCUCCAGAAACAGCGAUAAGGUCAGCUUUGGCCUUAUUUUUCUGCAGGCAAAUAAGAAAGAAAAGAAUAAUAAUAAUAAAAAUAAAACCAAACAGAUAUAACAGCGAGUACUGGUUGGAAGCAGCAACAACUGAAUAUUUGAUGUUGAGUGUGUAGUGCACCUUUCAAGGAAAUAGGCAAAAGGAAACAUCACUAAGCUGCCCGCAGCAUGCCGAUAAGUGACAUAGAUGUGAGGAUUCAAGCCUUGGUUGAAGGAAGCUUCUGUUAAGAAAUAAACCGAUGCAACGCAUAUCUUCUGUUAAGAAAUAAAUCGAUGCAACGCAUAUCUGAAGCAAAAUCAUGAGAAUUUGUGGCUUAAAUCUAUUGAUCACCUUGACAGCACACAUCACAAUUGCCAUAGCUUCUCGGUGUGAGGUUGUUUGUUCUAUAUUUAUGGAUGCUGAUGAAAGAUUCGUCCUGGUUAUGCUUGUAAUAAGUGAGUUUCUUGUUCUUAUCAAAUUCCAACUUGGUGGUGGAAUGUUUAAAAAGUUGGUAAUUUGCAAUAUUCUGACAAAUCAGAACGGCACUCUGAAAAGACUACUGCUGCCCAAAAGAAAAGAAUAUGUUUCAGAGGAAGAAUAAGCACAAAUGCAGAAGGAGCUCAAAAACAUACGAGUGUUGGUAGAAGAAAGGUCACUUGAGUUUUCCCCCUACCGCCGUCUUAAUGAAAGAAUAGAACUUUUAACUUUGACCUUGCGAGCACCCACUCAAAAUAGGAAGGGCGAACUCUUAUCUCCCCCAUCUCCAGGACCUAUUCUAAUCGAAGCUAUAAGCAUCUUACCUCUUUCUUUAGGCGAGCUUAUUCACCAGUGCACUUAACUUAUUUAUUUGUCAAUCUUGAAUUGAUUCUUGCUCAUUGAAGCGUACUGUGUCAGUGGCCCGCCCUUUACUUUGAUCUCGACGUCAGUGAGUGGGUUUGCCCCGACCUUGACUUCCUUAGUUCAGUGUGGCAGAACGCGGGUUAAAACUUUAAGAAAGUUGGUUUUGAAUUCUGGUACUUACAUCCAUUUUUAACCAAAGAUAAAGUCUCAGGGAUACAGUACUAAUUAGAAUAAUGAGAGAGAGUUAAAAUUACACUUCUGGUAACCGGACACUGAAGUUUUAUUCUCCAAUCCAUGGUUGUAUUUCAUAGGCUGCAAUUACAUCUGCCCUAAUUACAUAUAGAUUUUAAUUGUGUGUUUAAUCUGCAAAAUUCAGAUUAAGAAAUCUGUCUUGUCGUUUCAAUACUUCUUACAAGAAGCACUUAUCUCUUCAAUGUCAGCAGAGAACCAGAUCAGUACCUAUUGUCUUUAAACAUAUUUGUAAAUAGUGCAGGGAGCACAAGUACUGCUGUAAUUGGAACCAGAAAUGUGUUUUAUUGGACUUGGUUGUUUAUUUUCUUCCCCACUAUCCUUUUGUGCGGUAUCAUUAAGUUAACACCAACUGUUUUCUGAAUGAGAAAGUUGAGAUACUUCCUCUAUUGGUGGGUGAAUAAAUUCUUGCAUGUUGACCCUUAAAUAGUGUGUGGGGUCUGCGUGUUUCUCUAUCCAUACAUGGUCAUGAGCCCUCGGCCAUUCAUUCAUAUUAGCAUUUUCGAUAACUCAUUUGAAAAAGUUGUUGAUGCCGAAAAUCCGGAUGAGUUAUUUAGUGACUCGAUCUUAGAUCUCUGCAUCAGCAUUAAAUUUAUUUGAUGGGAAGUCGUUGAUUAGUUAGCACCAUGAGCAUAUUUUCUAUGAGCAAACGAUCCAUGAGCAGACAACUCGUGAGCAGACGAUCCAUGAGCAGACAACCCGUGAGCAGACGAUCCAUGAGCAAGUAACCCAUGAGCAGACAACCCAUGAGCAGACAACCCGUGAGCAGACGAUCCAUGAGCAGAUAACCCAUGAGCAAAUGAUCCAUGAGCAGGUAACCCAUGAGCACAUAAUCUGUGAGCCUGUGAGCACAACCAACAGUCAGGAGGCGCCGGAAGUUUUUCCGGCGAGAACCCUCUGACGCUCAAGUCAGGAAUUUGGGUCUACUUGGAAAAACUCAUACCACAAUUCAUGUGGCUUAAUUAUGAUUGCUUUAAACAAAAAGCUUUUAAGUAAAUUUAAAGGAAAAGAAUUCAAAAUAAUCAAUCUUAAAGAAAAAGAAUUCACGAGAGAAAGAGAAAUUUCUCAGUGGUAGAGAGAGAAAACGAUCCUAUGGAUUUAAUCUCGCAGAGAGAGAGGAAAAAGAAAAGACUCCCCUUUCCUUCCUCUUCCCAGGGUUUUUAUAGGAAAUUAUAGCGGUUUUUAUCCUCUCCCCUAGAAUUUUUAAGAAAACUAUUAAUUUUCAGCCCACUAAGAAUAUGGUCCCUAAUAUUUCGGAGAAAAUGUUUUGACUAAGUCGUGCUUCCUGGUAAUCUCCUGGUCGAGGUGAUGUGCUCAAGGUGAUCAAUAACAUACUGGUCGAUGUGAUGUGCUCGAAGUCACUAAAUAAUAUCUUGGUCGAGGUGAUCGGCUCAACUAUUUGCUCACUUUUACUUUUAGGAGAGCACGAUAAUAUAUGAGCAAACACAUUUAUCUUGGUCAUUCUAUUUCAUUCCCUAAACAAAAGCCAUGUAACAAGAAUCAAAUUUUAAUGAUGCGAAAGUGAAUAUGAUCCGUGAAUGAUACAAACUCUCAAGGUAAUUUACUAUUAUCUAUUUUAUUUAUUUCAAUUUAAGUUGUUGGUUAAUUUUGAAUUUGUCAAAAGGUAGUUUUACUUAUUUUGUGGAAUCAUGCGUUAAGGCAUAGAUCAUGAUGUGAGGACAUGCUCGGUGUUUUUUUAUUUUUCGUAUUUGUAAUCCUUAGCUAAAUUGUACUCAAAGCCUAAUGUUAUUCAACCAAAAGUAUCUUGAAUAUUGUUUAGCAACUUGAUAAUUGUAUUUGGGAGGUGCAGGUCCUCGAUUUCCAAUAAUAUCAAUUGAGAGACCUGGAUUUCCUGAAAUUGUCCUAUUUCUUUCAAAGAUAUUUGUGUGAAGUAUUAGACUUAUCCUUCCAUGUGAUCGAUGUCAAUUCAAUUUGUCAAUGGGGUGGUGCCUCUCCUUUGUUUGCAAUAUAACAUACCAAAGGAGUCACUUGAACAAAGGUAUCUCAAGCUUAACACAAUCCGCACUCGCGAUGAAAUCUUCCCGGCCGAGGAUGAUGAAUUCAACAGCUUAUCUCAAACUCUUUAAGUCCAAACUUGAAUCUGUACUAAAAGCUAUCUGCAAGGAAUAUAGAGAAGGCUGUUGCAGCCUAAGGUUCUAAGUUGAAGAAAAGGAGAUGGAAAAGUUGUUAAUAUUGAAGUAAACAAUUUCAUUUAUUUUUCCCCAGAUAAGGGAGAAAGAGAGCCAGAUCCAGCCAUCUCACAAGCUAAGUGGCGGCGACAGAUGAUUGCUUCCCUGCCUAAGCCCUUCCACAUGAUUCAUUUCUUAUUGCAGUCGACCAAACGUUGAGUAAUUACAAUAGAGGAGCUAAGUCACAAGAUAAUUUCCAGCCAUCUUCAAAUUACUGAUAGGAGUAAGUCUUACGGUAGCAACUUAGUCACUUAGAUAUAAUUUUUUCCGGAAGGUUUAGACAAGGAAGCUCCGGAAUUUUGUUUACGGGAGAGGUUGAAGACCAGAUGAAUUCACUGCUGGAAUUAGUUCCAGAAUGGGCUUCUGAAAAGUUGUCAUCCUGUGGCAAUUUGCUUGUCCGGUGAGUUUUAUAAACACUUUACACUUCAUCAAAGAAUAUGCAUUCAAUCACAUGAAUUUAAUUAUAGAACACUAUUUAUUUCAGAUAGGGUGUUCUUAUUAUGUGUUAUCUUUAGGAGAAAACUUCAGAUUUCUGGUAGAUGAUGACAUUAUUUGUCUUUUGCAGCAUCAAUAAAAUGACACGUCCAGAAUCCAUUCGAGUACGGCUUGAAGAAGCAAAAUGAACAGAAGAUUGCUAGGGGGUAAUUAAUUUAACUGAAAGAACCAUAUUGAGGGACAGUGUCCAAGUUUCCUCGACAUUGGGCUUUUUGUAAAUAUUAAUAGUUUAUUUUUUAUGCAAGCUAAUCUCCAUAGCAUAAAACAGUCAGGCAGUGGACUUGAGUAUGUUAACUUGAUAGUGAGAUUGUAAAAACUUCGUUCUUCAUGAGGAUGAUUAAGCAGUGCUUUUUAUUCAGGAAGUUGUUGCUUUAAGGGGUUGACAAUAUGAAAGCCUAGAGAGAAUUGAAGACUUUGGUGCCUGGAUCCACUUUGUUCUUCCCAUUUAUUUAGUGUGCAUUUUCGGAUACAAUCCCGUAGACCAUUUAAAUAUGGCAUAAGGUUUGUCAAUGGAUAUCUGUUUCUGAUAAAGUAAAAGCAUGGUCAUCGGGUUUCUUCUGCUCGUCACAUGCUGGAAAAGAUUGCUUCUGGUUCUUGAUGCAAUGUUGAUCUCCUUCUUUGCCCCAUAACAGGGAGUACAGACCAAUAAUAACUAUCAGUCCUCCAAGUAUGCUGAAUAGCCGAAGUAAGAAUCAGAGAUCACAAAAACCAGUUUGUUCAUGCUUUACUGAAAGUGUGAAAAGAACUCUAGAAUUUACCAUCCGGUGUGCAGUUUUUCACCAACAAGAAAGUAUGCUGCAACUGCCACGAUUACUGUUGUCAGGGGAUUAAAUAUGGUCACAAAAACUGGUCCUUUCUGUUCAAUGCACCAUAGUUGAAUAAAGAGGUUUAAACAAGAAGAUACUGCUCCCUGUAGCAAAUCGAAAAAUUACUUAGAACCCAAGAUACGCAGUAAAUUUAAUUAAAUGAAUAAAUAAACUCUAUCCAGUUCUUGAUAAACUAACUCACAGAAUAUAUGAUGCACCACAGAUCGAUGCCAGAUGUAGUAGACCAAGCAGCUGCUUUAGGCUGUACAAUUAUUGUGUAGACAGCAGAUUGUGCUGCCCCGAUACAGUUCAUCCAUGCUGAAAUUGACAGUUUUGCUGGAUACUUCUUCAACGUAAAUGCCUACGGGGUUUACAUGUUCCGUGAAACUUCUGAAUAUCCAGGUUUUCAGGUAUUUAUGGGUUGCUUUUACUUCAUUUAUGUUACUUCUGAAAUCACUGCUAUUCUAAAUACAAUUUUGGACGGUAUACCAUUCGAAAGAAAAAAAUCUAAAGCUUGUUGAAGGGUUUGAUACCUGCAUAAUGUAAAAGCUAGACCAUAAUAUGCAACUCGCAACAGUCAGAAUUGAACCUUUCAACCAGUUCUCAUGAACAGAGUUAGUUCCAAGGUGGAUUGGUGCACCCUUCAAGCUUGGCACUGCAGGUCCUUUGUAAAAAGCUAUAACCAUAACCCCAACUAAGGAUGCUAAUGUUCCAAGAAUUU